GUGCUAUGUGUCCUACCCGGUUGCAAUAAUGACAUAUUACGUUCGGGUUGUGCAUAUGCCUCGGUUGUGCCAAAAACGUUCUAGGUGAUCUAAAAUCGUUAUUCCUAGAAGCGUUGAAAUUCCUAGAAUUAUAUCUAGGUGAUGUAGAAUAAUUAUUUCUAGACUCAUUGACAAAAAUCCUAGAAUUAUUUCUAGGUGGCCUAAAAU
This 207-nucleotide long non-coding RNA is filed under the name Nicotiana benthamiana. RNAcentral describes it as "long non-coding RNA (NBEN_LNC000452)". The record is from RNAcentral. Lineage: Eukaryota; Viridiplantae; Streptophyta; Magnoliopsida; Solanales; Solanaceae.